This 21-nucleotide microRNA is filed under the name Gallus gallus (chicken). RNAcentral describes it as "gga-miR-449b-3p". Its record names the gene gga-miR-449b-3p. The record is from miRBase by way of RNAcentral. Lineage: Eukaryota; Metazoa; Chordata; Aves; Galliformes; Phasianidae.
CAGUCACUACCACACUGCCAC